This 483-nucleotide ribosomal RNA is filed under the name uncultured bacterium. RNAcentral's name for it is "bacterial SSU rRNA". It matches the Rfam family "Bacterial small subunit ribosomal RNA", at positions 30 to 507 of the family's 1533-position model. The record is from RNAcentral.
AUUGAACGCUGGCGGAAUGCUUUACACAUGCAAGUCGAACGGCAGCACGGGGCAACCUGGUGGCGAGUGGCGAACGGGUGAGUAAUACCAUCGGAACGUGCCCAAUCGUGGGGGAUAACGUAGCGAAAGUUACGCUAAUACCGCAUACGAUCUACGGAUGAAAGCGGGGGAUCGCAAGACCUCGCGCGAAUGGAGCGGCCGAUGUCAGAUUAGGUAGUUGGUGGGGUAAAGGCUCACCAAGCCAACGAUCUGUAGCUGGUCUGAGAGGACGACCAGCCACACUGGAACUGAGACACGGUCCAGACUCCUACGGGAGGCAGCAGUGGGGAAUUUUGGACAAUGGGCGCAAGCCUGAUCCAGCCAUUCCGCGUGCAGGAUGAAGGCCUUCGGGUUGUAAACUGCUUUUGUACGGAACGAAACGGUCUGCCCUAAUACGGCGGGCUAAUGACGGUACCGUAAGAAUAAGCACCGGCUAACUACGUG